GAAGGUGGUUGGAGCUCCCGGA
RNAcentral lists this non-coding RNA (22 nucleotides) under Arabidopsis thaliana (thale cress). Lineage: Eukaryota; Viridiplantae; Streptophyta; Magnoliopsida; Brassicales; Brassicaceae. The record is from RNAcentral.